CGCACGCAGGCGGUUGAUUGAGUCAGAUGUGAAAUCCCCGGGCUUAACCCGGGAAUUGCAUCUGAUACUGGUCAGCUAGAGUCUUGUAGAGGGGGGUAGAAUUCCAUGUGUAGCGGUGAAAUGCGUAGAGAUGUGGAGGAAUACCGGUGGCGAAGGCGGCCCCCUGGACAAAGACUGACGCUCAGGUGCGAAAGCGUGGGGAGCAAACAGGAUUA
RNAcentral lists this ribosomal RNA (215 nucleotides) under bacterium. RNAcentral describes it as "partial 16S ribosomal RNA". It matches the Rfam family "Bacterial small subunit ribosomal RNA", at positions 567 to 780 of the family's 1533-position model. The record is from RNAcentral.